RNAcentral lists this ribosomal RNA (1058 nucleotides) under uncultured bacterium. Its description in RNAcentral is "bacterial SSU rRNA". It matches the Rfam family "Bacterial small subunit ribosomal RNA", at positions 8 to 1064 of the family's 1533-position model. The record is from RNAcentral.
AGAGUUUGAUCCUGGCUCAGGAUGAACGUUGGCGGCGUGCCUUACCAAUGCGAGUCGAACGGUACGGGGAGGCUCUUCGGAGCGCCCACGACCGUGGCGUCCGGGUGCGUAACACGUAGCUAACCUACCGGCCGGUGGGGGAAAACUCCGGGAAACCGGAGGUAAUCCCGCAUGGGGUCGCCUGGUAGACAGGUGGACGAAAGCUGUGGCAGGGGAACCUGUCAUGGCGCCGGCUGAGGGGGCUGCGGCCGAUUAGCUAGUUGGUGGGGUAAUGGCUCACCAAGGCAGUGAUCGGUAGCGGGUCUGAGAGGAUGAUCCGCCACACGGGGACUGAGAUAUGGUCCCGAGCCCUACGGGGUUUAGCAUGGAGGAAUCUUGCGCAAUGGGCGAAAGCCUGACGCAGCGACGCCGCGUGGGGGAUGAAGGCCUUCGGGUUGUAAACCCCUUUUCCCGGGGAUGAGAAAGGACAGUACCCGGGGAAUAAGGUUCGGCUAACUACGUGCCAGCAGCCGCGGUAAUACGUAGGAACCGAGCGUUGUCCGGAUUUACUGGGCGUAAAGUGCGCGUAGGCGGUCCGUUAAGUCUCAUGUGAAAUCUCCCGGCUCAACUGGGAGGGGUCAUGGGAUACUGGCAGACUGGAGUGCAGUAGAGGAAAGCGGAAUUCCCGGAGUAGUGGUGGAAUGCGUAGAUACCGGGAGGAACACCAGAGGCGAAGGCGGCUUUCUGGGCUGUAACUGACGCUGAGGCGCGAAAGCGUGGGUAGCAAACCGGAUUAGAUACCCGGGUAGUCCACGCCCUAAACGAUGUCAACUAGCCGUUGGGUCCUUAAGGACUUAGUGGCGCAGCUAACGCGAUAAGUUGACCGCCUGGGGAGUACGGCCGCAAGGUUAAAACUCAAAGGAAUUGACGGGGGCCCGCACAAGCGGUGGAGCAUGUGGUUUAAUUCGAUGCAACGCGAAGAACCUUACCAGGCCUUGACAUCCUGCGAACUUUCCAGAGAUGGAUCGGUGCCUUCGGGAGCGCAGAGACAGGUGCUGCAUGGCUGUCGUCAGCUCGUG